RNAcentral lists this long non-coding RNA (4860 nucleotides) under Sus scrofa (pig). RNAcentral's name for it is "lncRNA (ENSSSCG00040003436.1)". Lineage: Eukaryota; Metazoa; Chordata; Mammalia; Artiodactyla; Suidae. The record is from RNAcentral.
AGAGCCACAAAUGCCAAAUCCGUGGUGUCCCCUUCCCUGGCUUCUUCCUGGAUAGAACUCAGUCUCCAAAUCCCUGGAGGGAGCUCCUGUGUUUCUGACCCUCAGCGUUUCUGGCUACCUGGGCUAUCUUUGUCUCCUGCUCUACCUUCCAUGAUGCCAGGAAUGGGCCACUCUGGUGACCUCAGAUCUCCCCACCUAGCAAGGUUCGUGUUGACCCUUCUCCCUUUUCCUCCAGCUGCCCCCAAGCCAUGCUGGCCACCUGCUUCAACACCUCUUUGUCUUAACCCGCUGGUGACUACAAGUCCCUUCUCUGUAGGACUCUAGGACAAGUCCCUGAGGACAUACAAAGAAUUGACAGCAGCUUCUGGAUUUGCUUUUCCUUCUGAUUCCCAGCCUGACUGUCCAGAUCAGGCUGGGGCACUGCAUUGCUCCAGAGAUUAGUUGUUUUCCCCUGAGAACUCUUAUUAGAGCUCUUUGAUUGUUUUGAUUUUUUUUUUUUUUCAUUAUGGACACACCUGCAGCAUAUGAAAAUUCCCAGGCUAGGGGUUGAAUUGGAGUUGCAGCUCCUGGCCUACACCACAGCCACAGCAACUCAGAAUCCUAGCAAUGUCUAAUCUACACCACAGCUCAUGGCAACGCCAGAUCCUUAACCUGCUGAUCAAGGCCAGGAAUUGAACCCUCAUCCUCAUGGAGACUGUGUCAGGUUUCUUAACCUUCUGAGCCACAGUGGGAACUCUGAAUUUAAAAUAGAUGUUCAGGAGUUCCCCCAUGGAAGUGGGUUAAGGAUCUGGCAUUGUUACUGCUGUGGCUUGGAUCUGGUUUGACCCCAGACCUGGAAACUUUUUGCAUGCCAUGGGCACAACCCCCACCUCCAAACAGAAUAAAAUAGUAUACAUAUGGCUGAAUCCAAGGAUCCCAGAUGUCUAUAGGAGGCUGCCUUCUAUCAGGCACAAUCCGGUCAGGCUCUUUUCCCAGGUGGCAGCAAGUAUAGCCACCACCAGCAGCAGACUUCUACUCUGCUAGCCUACUAGUCUGCCUAAACUGUCUUUUCCCCAGAGUCCUGGGGAGGAAGCUUUAGACAUGCUGGUCUUUUGUCUGCUUCACAUCAUCAAGAAAGCACCGAAUCAUUUUGGCCAAGGAAGUGAGGUCCCAGCCUUAACGAGGACAGGGUCCACAUGCCCAGUGGAGGUGGACUCAGGUCAAGUUGUUUGCCUAAGUAGAAAAUGUGGGUUCUGCCAGCAGAAGAAAGUGUGCUGAUCAGGCCCAAACUGGCACUCACUGUGGAAGUGAAGUGGUGGCUUUUUCUCCUGCCUACCCAAACAGAUGGCUGUUACAUCACUGCUCCCCUACCCCCAAUUCUUACACUCACUCAUCCUGCAAAAAUGCUCAUAGGCAGGUCUGAGGUUGAAAGGUAAGAAGUGUGCUCUAGUUAAGGCACAGAGACAGAUUAUCUUGGGGAAAUUUGGAACGUAAGGUAAUUUUCAAAGAUUUUAGAGAAACUUCCAAAGCCUUCAUUUUCUCCUCUUUCCUCUGGUCCCCCCACCCCCUACUGCCAGCAGUGACCCCCCCUCACCCCGUGGCAGCAGAUGAUCCUGGAAGCUUUUGUGAUCGCCCAGUCACUGGCGGUUUCUCAUUUUGUUGAGCGACACCUUGGAUUCCCAAACAAAAAAAGCAAUCAAGAAGGUUUCAAGAGUGAUGUGGAGAGAGAGGGAAGGAGAGAGGGCUAGGCAUUUUCAAGCAGAGCAUUUGCACAAGGAUGGAGUGCCAAGCUUCCAGCAAGGUUGGCAGACAAGGGCCUCCAGCAGGCAGAGUGACAAGGAGGUAAUCAGCACCACUUGCCACUUUCCAUUGAGGCAGACAUGGGAGCCAAAAUGGAAGCAAUGCUUGGAUGAUAAAUUGGCUUUUUGCUCUUCCUUUGAACUUCAAGAUCUGUCCCCUUGGGGUCCUCCCCCACCCCAUGGACUGAUUGACAAGCUCAAUGGGCAAGGAGAGGAUUCUGGAUCCAAGAAGCUGAGCUGUGUUAGGGGAUUCUUUGAAGCUAAUUGAAUUUGAACGUCAGCUGCCACUGAGAGAACAGGGCAAGAAAAGACCUACCUUUAACAAGGGAACUUUCAGGAGUGGAGAGGAAAACCAAAGGGUAACAAGAACCUCUUACAUUUCAAUCCAACCUUUUGGAGCCCCAGCAAAGAGGAGCCAAUUAAACACCAGGUUUUAAUUCUUUCUUAUUGCUUUUCUGUAAUCAAGAAAUUCAAAACUAGACAGCUAUAAAAUUUUAAGUGGCAAAAUUUGGAUAUGUAGUUUUACAUGCUCAUAUUUUACUUGUAGCCAAUGCCAUUUUUCGAAGUCACCGUAAAUGGCUCUCUCACAUUCCAGAUUAAGGAUAUGCCAUCCUUCUUUCAACAUUUCUCUCUCUGGUCAUUUCCGUUGCUUCCAAAGUCUUCUUAUAAGUGGUCCCAUCUCACUUCUGUGGCAGUGUAGAGCUCUGUUUAUUCAUCCUUGCCAGCAUCAAAUACUAUUUUACAAAUCUGUUGCCUACUCGAUAGGCAAAUUGGCUUCCCUUUCAUUCACCUACCUUUGAUCCCUAAUCAGGAUAAAUGUUGCUUUGCAUGUUUAUUUGUAUUUCAACUUCUGAAAAUCACAUUUAUGCACUUUGCACACUUUUAUUCAUGGCAAACAGAAUAUUUAUAAAUAUACUUUAUAUAUUUAUAUAUGAAGGUCAUUAUGAUGUCCUGUAUUAGAUUUGUUGCUAGUGUUCUCUGUUUUUAAAACUUUAGUUUUAAAGAUAAAACUCGGUACUUUUUGAUAUUAUUUUUUAAGAAGUCGUUUCUUUUUUGGACAGUAAUGCGUUUGCAUGGUUCAAGAUCUGACAAUACUAAAGGGUGUUCAGGGAAGUGUCUCCUCUCCAGACUUGCCCUCUUGUCACCUCCUGAAAUCACUCAUUUUUACCAAUAUCUAGAUGUUUUUCUACAUACUAUGUGUUUAUAAAUUUCUAUAUUCCUUUUUAUACAAACGAUAAAAUAGUAUUUAAACUCUCCCAAAACCUUUCUUCCCCCUAGUUUUUGGAGUUUAUUUUCCAUCAGUCCAUAAAGAGCUUCCUUGUUCUUUUUUAUGGCAACAUAAUAUUCCAUUGAAUGAUUUAAGGUAGUUUAAAAAUUUUUCAUACAGUUUUUAAAGGUUACACUUCACUUACAGUUACUGCAAAAUAUUGGCUAUAUUCUUCAUGUUGUACAGUACAUCCUUGAGUCUGUCUUACACCCAGUGGCUUAUACCUUCCACUCCCAACCCCCAAGUUUCUCCUCCUCCCAUCCCCACUGGUAACUAGUAGUUUGUUCUUUAUAUCUGUGAGUUUGCUUCUUUUUUGUUAUAUUCAUUAGUUUGUUGUAUUUUUUAGAUUCACUAUGGAAAACAUUAUGGUUUUUGACCUUCAAAAGUUUUGAAAGAUUUUAUAACCAGAUCUAUCAAUCUUUCCAUUUAUAAUUUUAUCCAUUAGUUUGUUUUGUUUUGUUUUGUUUCAUUUUUGGCUGCCCCUAGGCAUAUGGAGUUCCCAGGCCAGGGAUCAGGUCUGAACCACAGUUGCAACCUAAGCUGUAGCUAUGGCAAUGCUGGAUCCCUAACCCACUGUGCCGGGCCAGGAACUGAACCUGUGUCCCAAGAUACCACUGAUCCCAUUGUGCCACAGUGGGAAACUCCUCCAUUAAUUUUUUUAAUGAUUAAAAUUUCAGCCCCAUCCUGCAGUUAUUUAAAUACUCAUCCAUGUUUUCUUCCUAUGUGAUUUUUAAAUUAGACUUUUUGACAUAAAUGUAGAUUCAUGUGCAUUUGUAGGAGUUAAUACAGAGAGAUCCCUUAUACCCUUUACCCAGUUUUUCUCAAUGGUAGCCUCUGGCAACACUUCUGUUAAAAAGAUACCACAACUAGGAUAUUGACUUGGAUAAUUAAGACAACAUUUCUACUGUCUCAAAGAUCCCUCAUGUUCUUCUACUAUAGCCUCAAGUUAUUUCCAUCCCUGUACUUAACCCUUUACAACCACUAAAUUGUUCUCCAUUCCUAUAGUGUUAUCAUUUUAGGAGUGUUACAUCAAUAAAAUCAUACUAUAUUUGACCUUUUGGGAUCAACAUUUUUUCACUCAGCAUAAUUCUCUGGAGAUUCAUCUAGGUUGGCGUGUGUUCUAAUAGUAGAUUUCCUUUUUUUCCUGAAUAUAUAUUUUUUUGUAUGGAUGGACCACAGUUUCGUUAACUGUUCACCUAUCAAAGGACAUCUCAAUUUCCAGUUUUUGGCUAUUAUGAAUGAAGCGCCUACAAACAUUUAUUUACAGAUUUUUGUAUAAACAUAGGUUUUCACUUUACUGAGAAAAAUGCUCAAGAGUACAACUGCUAUGUUGUAUUGUAGUUGCAUGUUUAUUUUUUUAGUAAACUGUCAAAAUUUUUCCAGAGUAGCUGUAUCGUUUUACAUCCCAACCAACAAUGCAUAAUGAUCCAUUUUCCUCCAUCCUCACAAGUAUUUGGUAUUAUCACUGUUUUUUAAUUUACAAAUUUGGAUAGGUAUGUACCGAUAUCUCAUUAUGGUCUUAAUUUGCAUUUCUCUGAAGGCUAAUGAUAUUAAACCUCUUUCAUGUGCUUAUUUGUCUUGUGUGUGUUCUCUUAAUCUUUUGCCCAUUUUCUAGUUGGGUUGGUUUUUUUAUUAUUGAGUUUUAAGAGUUCUUUAUAGGAAUUCCCACUGUGGUGCUGUGGGUUGGGUCACUGUGGAGGCAUGAGUUCGAUCCCAGCCUGCACAGUAGGUUAAAGGAUCUGGCAUUGCUGCAGCUGCAGCAUAGGUCUCAGCUGUGACUGGGAUUCAUUCCCUGGCCUGGGAACUUCCAUGUGU